This 497-nucleotide ribosomal RNA is filed under the name uncultured bacterium. Its description in RNAcentral is "SSU rRNA". It matches the Rfam family "Bacterial small subunit ribosomal RNA", at positions 26 to 519 of the family's 1533-position model. The record is from RNAcentral.
AGGAUGAACGCUAGCGGCAGGCUUAAUACAUGCAAGUCGUGGGGCAGCAUAGGGUAGCAAUACUCUGAUGGCGACCGGCAAACGGGUGCGGAACGCGUACGCAACCUUCCUUUAACUGGAGAAUAGCCCCUCGAAAGAGGGAUUAAUACUCCGUAAUAUAAUGAUAAGGCAUCUUAUUAUUAUUAUAGCUCCGGCGGUUAGAGAUGGGCGUGCGCCUGAUUAGGUAGUUGGCGGGGUAACGGCCCACCAAGCCUGCGAUCAGUAACUGGUGUGAGAGCACGACCAGUCACACGGGCACUGAGACACGGGCCCGACUCCUACGGGAGGCAGCAGUAAGGAUAUUGGUCAAUGGACGCAAGUCUGAACCAGCCAUGCCGCGUGGAGGAUUAAGGCCCUCUGGGUUGUAAACUCCUUUUAUCUGGAAGAAUCCAUAUAAUCUUAUAUGGUUGACGGUACCAGAGGAAUAAGCACCGGCUAACUCCGUGCCAGCAGCCGUA